UGCAUCGGCCGGGAAUCGAACCCUGGCCGCCCGGGUGGCAGGCGAGCAUUCUACCACUGAACCACCGAUGC
This 71-nucleotide transfer RNA is filed under the name Cordylochernes scorpioides. RNAcentral describes it as "tRNA-Gly". Lineage: Eukaryota; Metazoa; Arthropoda; Arachnida; Pseudoscorpiones; Chernetidae. The record is from RNAcentral.